RNAcentral lists this ribosomal RNA (479 nucleotides) under uncultured soil bacterium. Its description in RNAcentral is "bacterial SSU rRNA". It matches the Rfam family "Bacterial small subunit ribosomal RNA", at positions 26 to 518 of the family's 1533-position model. The record is from RNAcentral.
AGGACGAACGCUGGCGGUGUGCUUAACACAUGCAAGUGGAGCGACGAAUCAGAGCUUGCUCUGGGGCAGAGCCGCGAACGGGUGAGUAACACGUGGGUAACCUACCCGAUGACCGGGACAACCCGAGGAAACUCGGGCUAAUACCGGAUAUGUCCGACAUUCACGAGGAUGUCGAGCAAAGGAAGCUUCGGCCUCCGCUUCGGGAGGGCCCGCGGCCCAUUAGCUAGUUGGUGGGGUAAUGGCCUACCAAGGCUGCGAUGGGUAGCUGGUCUGAGAGGACGAUCAGCCACACUGGGACUGAGACACGGCCCAGACUCCUACGGGAGGCAGCAGUGGGAAUAUUGGACAAUGGGCGCAAGCCUGAUCCAGCCAUGCCGCGUGAGUGAUGAAGGCCCUAGGUUGUAAAGCUCGUUUCAGUGGGAAGAUAAUGACGGUACCACAGAAGAACGCCCCGGAUAACGUUCGUGCCAGCCAGCCGC